Procambarus clarkii (red swamp crayfish) is the source of this 935-nucleotide long non-coding RNA. RefSeq lists it as uncharacterized. NCBI's taxonomy places the organism in Eukaryota, Metazoa, Arthropoda, Malacostraca, Decapoda, Cambaridae. The record is from RefSeq and is a predicted model, not a curated record.
ACAUAUCCAUGCAUCUUGCCGUAAUAUCUCGACUCUAUCGCUUAAUAUCUUUUUUAGGUGGCAUAUAAUCACACUGUCUAAGGACACUCGGCUCCUUGUCCAAUAUAUCCUUGAAAGGGCUCUCGUCUCGUACGCCGAGGAGGAAGCCCAAUCAAUACUAUACCUACUCUGAGGGCACUCUGAGGGACCUUCAAAACAGAUGAUGGCGGCCGUGUGGGGAGUGGAGAGAGGUAGUGGGGCGGGUCUCCACUGUGGGUAUAUAAGGACCUGCCCACCCUCAUCCUAGUACAGUCCACGUGAAGUUGUCACUUUGUGAACACCUCUCUUACAAACAUGAGAUCUGUGUGCCUGAUGUUGGUGGUGGUGGUGGUGGCCCUGGCCGCCCUGAUGGGGUCAGCCCGAGCCAUGCCUGAACCCUACGCCCUGGCCGACCCUGACCCCGCGGCUGACCCACAAUUUGAAGAGCUUCACAAUUUUGGUCGGGGAUUCCUUCGGGGUCUCCUUCGCAGUAUUGGAACCCACAGAAUAUAAUUAACCUUAUAACCUGCUUCCCGUGACCAACAGUUUCCUCCCAGUCGAAGGAUUUUGUUUGGUAAACGACCAACCAAAUUUUUACUAACAACUACCAACUUUUGUCUACUGGAGGAAGCUGGAUGAAACUACUGACGCAGCUUUCUCUUGUCUUCUGAAUCUCCAGCAUCUCUCAAACCUUCAGAAUCUCCAGCAUCUCUCAAACCUUCAGAAUCUCCAGCAUCUCUCAAACCUUCAGAAUCUCCCCAAAUUACAGCAUGUCUCCAACCUCCAGCAUCUUCUAAUCUCAAGCAACUUCCCAAUCUUCAGCAUCUUAAACGUCCAGCACCUCCAGCAUGGUUGCUAGCUGUUUUGUAGUUACCAACUGUCAGAUGAAUUCUUUAUGAAAUACAUCUAUUUUCAUA